UGGGGAAUAUUGCACAAUGGGGGAAACCCUGAUGCAGCGACGCCGCGUGAGCGAAGAAGGUUUUUGAAUCGUAAAGCUCUGUCCUAUGGGAAGAUAAUGACGGUACCAUAGGAGGAAGCCCCGGCUAACUACGUGCCAGCAGCCGCGGUAAUACGUAGGGGGCAAGCGUUGUCCGGAAUCACUGGGCGUAAAGGGUUCGCAGGCGGAAAUGCAAGUCAGUUGUGAAAGGCAGAGGCUCAACCUCUGUAAGCAAUUGAAACUGUAUUUCUUGAGAUGUGGAGAGGCAAGUGGAAUUCCUAGUGUAGCGGUGAAAUGCGUAGAUAUUAGGAAGAAUACCGGUGGCGAAGGCGACUUGCUGGACACAAACUGACGCUGAGGAACGAAAGCGUGGGUAGCAAACAGG
This 403-nucleotide ribosomal RNA is filed under the name Fusobacteriota bacterium. Its description in RNAcentral is "Fusobacteria bacterium partial 16S ribosomal RNA". It matches the Rfam family "Bacterial small subunit ribosomal RNA", at positions 355 to 776 of the family's 1533-position model. Lineage: Bacteria; Fusobacteriati; Fusobacteriota. The record is from RNAcentral.